This 735-nucleotide long non-coding RNA is filed under the name Volvox carteri. RNAcentral describes it as "long non-coding RNA (VCAR_LNC003224)". Lineage: Eukaryota; Viridiplantae; Chlorophyta; Chlorophyceae; Chlamydomonadales; Volvocaceae. The record is from RNAcentral.
AGGUUGGCGCGAUUAGUUAGAGAUUUCCGUCCGUACUCACGCGCUUCGCGGAUUAAUUAUAGAUUAAUAUGCUAUGAAAUGCGAGCUUUCUGCUUAUACUAAAAGCUCAAACUUGGUGCGAAAAAUUUGCUACCUGGUGGCCACCAGGUAUCAAAUUGACAAUCUCGGAUUAACACUUUUCACGACGCCUCAUAAAAAGCCUGAGUGAUAGGUUGGAAGGUUAUCCUUUAUAAAGGCUGUAGGUGUUCCUAGUUUUGUGGAAGCUUUGUGCUUCUUGUUCGGCAUUAUGCACCACACCGUGGGUGUCGUUCAAAGGUGCUACAAGGUCUUCAUGUUGAUACUCAAUAGUCUUUUAAAUGUCUGGCCAUACUCGUUUUUGCAUUUUAUGCACGGAAUGAACAAGUGUCGUACUUCAAUCCGUUUCUUAAUCCAGACGUAUGAAACACUCCGACGGAUUAGCGGUGGAUUGGCGCGGCUUAAAAAUACCUUAAUCCGCGACUUUUAAUCCAAGUGGAAACACCCCCUAAGAUUUCCGCCCGCGUUCGUGUGCUUCGCGGAUUAAUUAUACAUUAAUAUGCUAUGAAAUGCGAGCAUUCUUCCUAUACUAAUAGCUCAAACUUGGUGGGACAAAUUUGCUACCUGGUGGCCACCAGGUAUCAAAUUGACAAUCGCGGAUUAACACUUUUCACGACGCCUCAUAAAAAGCCCGAUUGAUAGGUUGGAAGGUUAUUCUUU